AUUGCGAAGGCAGCUUGCUGGACCGUAACUGACGUUGAGGCUCGAAGGUGCGGGUAUCGAACAGGAUUAGAUACCCUGGUAGUCCGCACGGUAAACGAUGGACACCCGCCGUGGGCGACAUACAGUCCGCGGCCAAGCGAAAGCGUUAAGUGUCCCGCCUGGGGAGUACGCCGGCAACGGUGAAACUCAAAGGAAUUGACGGGGGCCCGCACAAGCGGAGGAACAUGUGGUUUAAUUCGAUGAUACGCGAGGAACCUUACCCGGGCUCGAACCUCCCCCGAAUCCGGCGGAGACGCCGGAGCCAGCAAUGGCGGGGGCGGAGGUGCUGCAUGGUUGUCGUCAGCUCGUGCCGUGAGGUGUCGGCUUAAGUGCCAUAACGAGCGCAACCCCUCCCUCCAGUUGCCAUCGGGUAAUGUCGGGGACUCUGGAGGCACUGCCAUCGCAAGAUGCGAGGAAGGCGGGGAUGACGUCAAAUCAGCACGGCCCUUACGUCCGGGGCUACACACGUGUUACAAUGGGGGGUACAGAGGGCCGCUGCACGGCGACGUUCGGCCAAUCCCUAAAUCCCCUCCCAGUUCGGACCGGAGUCUGGAACCCGACUCCGCGAAGCUGGAUUCGCUAGUAAUCGCGCAUCAGCCAUGGCGCGGUGAAUACGUUCCCGGGCCUUGUACACACCGCCCGUCAAGCCAUG
RNAcentral lists this ribosomal RNA (691 nucleotides) under uncultured bacterium. Its description in RNAcentral is "bacterial SSU rRNA". It matches the Rfam family "Bacterial small subunit ribosomal RNA", at positions 712 to 1406 of the family's 1533-position model. The record is from RNAcentral.